Molecule: long non-coding RNA, 1528 nt
Organism: Megalobrama amblycephala (Wuchang bream)
Lineage: Eukaryota; Metazoa; Chordata; Actinopteri; Cypriniformes; Xenocyprididae
Exons: 3
Source: RefSeq, a predicted model, not a curated record
UAACAUGCAUCAAAUAAGUAUGUAUGCUAACUAGCGGUUUAAACGGUGUGCUUUAUUCAGGCCUAUGCCUCAGCCACUUCAGAUUGGCAGGUGAUGUUAUUUGCUGAUAUGCCUCCGGUCUUCUUCCUCUUAGAACCAACCUGGUAGACAAAAACUGUGGACCCAAAGAGACUGACAACACCAGGGCUUUCUUAUCUUUUCCAAUCAACAGCUGUGGAUCCACAGUCAAGCUUGGCAAGGAAUAUGUGACGUAUGAAAAUUAGAUUUUCUUCAGCAAGAAGUUACGUGAUCCAGCUGAUUUCUGUGAUUUUGACAGAGUUUCCCACCAGAGGAAGUGGCAUCCCUUGGUCACAUGCUUUUUCUACAAAUGCUUUGGAGGUGUUUUUUUUUUUUUGUUUUUGUUUUUUACAACCUAGGGAACCGUUGACCAGAAUGUGGGGACAGACACUAAAUUUAUUUAUUAAAUUACAAAUAAUACAGAAAAUAUAUUCUAUGCAACUGUUUAUAUAACUUAAGAGUGUGAACAAAAAAAUACUUAAAUUAGACUUAAUUGUUUCAUGAUAAUUCAAGUUGAAUGAAUCAGGAGGCGGAGUCAUUCAAUAAUGGGUCCAGUGGGAGUCAUUUAGUUAAUAUUUCCCCAUUACAUUGUAUUCCUAAGUAUACAUGAAGCAUUGUUUUUAGUGAUAGUGUAAUAACUGUGUUAUUCAAAAUUUAUUAAAACGUUUAUUUAAAUGGGUUUAUCUGGGAGACUCGAUGUACCCCCAAUUCUAGAAUGACUAUAUAUCUAUAUACUCGUUUUUUUUUAACCUGUUUAUGAAAGGAAAAUUGAUUGGCCAAAGAUACACUGACCCCGAAUGCAGAGUUAUCUCUUCCUGUAAUUCGGCUACGUUUCAACUACCAUAUUCCGCUGUCGCCACGAUCAGAGACGUGGGUGGGUCUUCGCAUACCGCCAAAAAAUAGCAAAGAGAGAGUGGACUACCGCCAUUUCAUGUCUUGUCAGCCAUCUGAACCAAAUAAUGGGAGAUAGAACCACGAACCUGUGAGUUUUGAGCUUUGUAGUUUACUAAUGAGUAUUGAAUAAGCCUAAUAGGAAACGUGUAACGUUAGGCCUAUUAUGGUCAUAGUGUCGGUGUUUUUUUUGUUUUGUUUUUUAGGCUUAUUGAGCUGACAAUUUCACUUGCACUGGAAAUGUGAAGUAAUAAAAAUAGGAUACGGUCCGAAAUGUAAAAUGUAGGCUUAUUUGCAGUCUUGAUAAAUCUAUAUACUACCUUAAGUUGUGGUAGGCAUAUUGAUUUAAUUUCACAAGAUUUGGCUUUAUUUUUUUACUGAAUCAGCGAUCAGUAAAGCUUCCAUGAACUUCGGUAACGUUAGUUUUUUAAUUUGUCUGCAUUGUUACUAGAGCAAAUGCUAGAUCUAGCUGAAGUGUAUGCUAACCAAUCUACGACCGAUUUCGUCUCAAAGAAAUGGAGCAUUGUUUGCGACUUGUAGAGUUUUUAAAAAGCUGCAUAAACGACAUCUCUCUGCGCCA